This 218-nucleotide long non-coding RNA is filed under the name Elaeis guineensis (African oil palm). RNAcentral describes it as "long non-coding RNA (EGUI_LNC038905)". The record is from RNAcentral. Lineage: Eukaryota; Viridiplantae; Streptophyta; Magnoliopsida; Arecales; Arecaceae.
AAUUAACCAUUAUCUAGCUCUUACUAAUUAACUAUUGAGAAGUUACUAAAGUUUUAAUCAUUUUGCUGAUUAGAAACAUUUUAUAAACAUGGAUCAAGAUCAAUUCUAAUGCAAAUAAAUAUUUUACCCAUUUCAAAUAUAGUAAGACACAGAACAUAAUCAGUCAUCAAUCGUUUGGCAAGAGAUCUAAGGAUACCAGCCAUAGAGACUAUACCAGC